UAAGCAUAUCAAUAAGCGGAGGAAAAGAAACCAACAGGGAUUGCCUUAGUAACGGCGAGUGAAGCGGCAAAAGCUCAGAUUUGAAAUCUAACGCCAUUUUGACGUUCGAGUUGUAAUCUGUAGAGGAGUAUUCGAGUGUAGCUUUGGCUUAAGUUCCUUGGAACAGGGCGUCAUAGAGGGUGAGAACCCCGUUAACGGCCUUUGUCUUAUGCUCAUGUGAAUCUCCUUCAACGAGUCGAGUUGUUUGGGAAUGCAGCUCUAAAUUGGUGGUAAAUUCCAUCUAAAGCUAAAUACUGGCAAGAGACCGAUAGCGCACAAGUAGAGUGAUCGAAAGAUGAAAAGAACUCUGAACAGAGAGUUAAAUAGUACGUGAAAUUGUUGAAAGGGAAGCACUUGCGACCAGACGCACUUUCAGUCAAUCAACCUCCAUUCUUGGUGGUGCACUUGAUUGUUGGUGGGUCAGCAUCAGUUACAACGGUGGGAAAAAGACUCUGGGAAUGUGGCUUCCUUCGGGGAGUGUUAUAGCCCUUGGUGUAAUGCCGCCUGCUGUGACUGAGGACCGCGCUUUGGCGAGGAUGCUGACACAAUGGUCGUAAGUGACCCGUCUUGAAACACGGACCAAGGAGUCUAACAUCUAUGCGAGUGUUUGGGUGUCGAAACCCUUACGCGGAAUGAAAGUGAAUGGAGGUGGGAACCGCAAGGUGCACCAUCGACCGAUCCUGAUGUUUUCGGAUGGAUUUGAGUAGGAGCAUAGCUGUUGGGACCCGAAAGAUGGUGAACUAUGCCUGAAUAGGGUGAAGCCAGAGGAAACUCUGGUGGAGGCUCGCAGCGGUUCUGACGUGCAAAUCGAUCGUCAAAUUUGGGUAUAGGGGCGAAAGACUAAUCGAACCAUCUAGUAGCUGGUUCCGGCCGAAGUUUCCCUCAGGAUAGCAGUAACGAUAAUAGUUUUAUGAGGUAAAGCGAAUGAUUAGAGGCCUUGGGGUUGCAACAACCUUAACCUAUUCUCAAACUUUAAAUAUGUAAGAAGUCCCUGUUUCUUAAUUGAACGGAGACAUUGGAAUAUACGUUACUAGUGGGCCAUUUUUGGUAAGCAGAACUGGCGAUGCGGGAUGAACCGAACGCGAGGUUAAGGUGCCAGAAUGUACGCUCAUCAGACACCACAAAAGGUGUUAGUUCAUCUAGACAGCAGGACGGUGGCCAUGGAAGUUGGAAUCCGCUAAGGAGUGUGUAACAACUCACCUGCCGAAUGAACUAGCCCUGAAAAUGGAUGGCGCUUAAGCGUGCUACCUAUACCUUGCCGCCAUGGUAGACACCAUGCCAUGGCGAGUAGGCCGGCGUAGAGGUCAGUGACGAAGCCUUGGGAGUGAUCCUGGGUGGAACGGCCUCUAUG
RNAcentral lists this ribosomal RNA (1390 nucleotides) under Sarcopeziza sicula. RNAcentral's name for it is "partial large subunit ribosomal RNA". It matches the Rfam family "Eukaryotic large subunit ribosomal RNA", at positions 35 to 1444 of the family's 3401-position model. The record is from RNAcentral. Lineage: Eukaryota; Fungi; Ascomycota; Pezizomycetes; Pezizales; Pezizaceae.